CUGUAAGUCUGCCAGUCCCACAGGAAUGUCAUGGACAUUCCAGGGUAUUUCAGAUGUUAUUGAGGGCCCAAAGAGUAACUGAACCAAAGCCUAAAUGACAGAAGAAAAGUAGUAUCUAUAAUAGGAUAAAUGUCUAAACAUGAGCUAUGGAACUAAGCUCACACAACAAUCAAUGGAGAUCCUGUGCCUAGAGUUUACAAGAUUGUGGGAAGAUGAAUAUUCAGCUAAAGCAGAAAAUAUUAGAGUAUCAAAGACAGCUGCACAAAACUGGCAGAUAAGAGACCUGACAAGUGGAGUCAAGAUGAGGUCCCUCAUUUAAUGCCUCUUAAAUGGAGUCAAUAGGAAGAUUUUUUUAUUCAACUGAAUUUUGGUUUUGGUUCACAUGUAGACAUCUAUAUUUACAUAUACCUAAAUGUAUACCUACAUUUAGGUGUUAACCACCUUAUUAUGUCAAACUAGACUACAGAAGAUGUAGCCAUGUGACUUAAAUAAAUAGUUCUGAAAGAAAGGAUGAAAAAUGCAUAGAAAGUUGAAGCUGUCAUCCUCUUUCACAUUUCCUUUCUUAAUUCCAUUGCUCUGUCAAUAUUUUCAAUAUUCCACAAAACAAUCUAAAAACAGAUUCCUUGCUUAUAUUGCAACAUAUUGUAGAGUAUAGUAAGCUUGUGUUUCACUGUUGUUUACAAUUUUAUAUCAAAUGCAAAAUAAAUAUUUUGGAUACAUUUUGGAUAUAUUUUUCAGCAGUCGCAUAAAUUUGUGAAUAAGGAAAUUUGAGCAUGGAAUCUCUAAAUCAUUUAAUAGCCUGUCUGAACAUCCAGUGU
This is a long non-coding RNA of Passer domesticus (house sparrow), 818 nucleotides long. RefSeq lists it as uncharacterized. NCBI's taxonomy places the organism in Eukaryota, Metazoa, Chordata, Aves, Passeriformes, Passeridae. The record is from RefSeq and is a predicted model, not a curated record. The transcript is spliced from 3 exons.